RNAcentral lists this unclassified non-coding RNA (192 nucleotides) under uncultured Sporobolomyces. RNAcentral describes it as "sequence contains ITS1". Lineage: Eukaryota; Fungi; Basidiomycota. The record is from RNAcentral.
GAGAGCCAAGAGAUCCGUUGUUGAAAGUUUUUAUUUGUUAUAAAAAUUUUACAUUCAUAGACUAGUGUUUAUAAAGUGAAAUGGCUCACAAUCCGAAAAUUGCUCGCCAUUAAUACAGAUGCACAGGGUUAGAUGUGAGAAGGUCGGGUUCCAAGUUAAAUUGGACACCCUAUUUAUUCACUAAUGAUCCUU